Molecule: ribosomal RNA, 426 nt
Filed under: Salmonella enterica subsp. enterica serovar Kentucky
Lineage: Bacteria; Pseudomonadati; Pseudomonadota; Gammaproteobacteria; Enterobacterales; Enterobacteriaceae
Description: partial 23S ribosomal RNA
Rfam family: Bacterial large subunit ribosomal RNA
Source: RNAcentral
CGCUCGCCGGAAGACCAAGGGUUCCUGUCCAACGUUAAUCGGGGCAGGGUGAGUCGACCCCUAAGGCGAGGCCGAAAGGCGUAGUCGAUGGGAAACGGGUUAAUAUUCCCGUACUUGGUGUUACUGCGAAGGGGGGACGGAGAAGGCUAUGUUGGCCGGGCGACGGUUGUCCCGGUUUAAGCGUGUAGGUGUGUGUUCCAGGUAAAUCCGGUUCACUUUAACACUGAGGCGUGAUGACGAGGCACUACGGUGCUGAAGCAACAAAUGCCCUGCUUCCAGGAAAAGCCUCUAAGCAUCAGGUAACAUCAAAUCGUACCCCAAACCGACACAGGUGGUCAGGUAGAGAAUACCAAGGCGCUUGAGAGAACUCGGGUGAAGGAACUAGGCAAAAUGGUGCCGUAACUUCGGGAGAAGGCACGCUGACAC